Long non-coding RNA from Capra hircus (goat), 2360 nucleotides. The record is from Ensembl. NCBI's taxonomy places the organism in Eukaryota, Metazoa, Chordata, Mammalia, Artiodactyla, Bovidae.
GUUUACUCAAACUCAGGUCAAUUGAGUCGAUGAUUCUAUCCAAACACCUCAUCCUCUGUUGUCCCCUUCUCCUCCCGCCCUCAGUCUUUCCCAGCAUCAGGGUCUUUUCCAAUGAGUCAGUUUUUUGCAUCAGGUGGCCAAAGUAUUAGAGUUACAGCUUCAGCAUCAGUCUUCCCAGUGAAUAUUCAGGACUGAUUUCCUUUAGGAUGGACUGGUUGGAUCUCCUUGCAAGUCCAAGGGACUCUCAAGAGUCUUCUCCAACACCACAGUUCAAAAGCAUCUAUUCUUCGGUGCUCAGCUUUCUUUAUUGUCCAACUCUCACAUCCAUACAUGACUACUGGAAAAACCCUACCUUAGUGGUACUGAAAUAUUGUUCUUUCAUUUCAUGCCUAGGAAAGAGUGUCCCCCACAUCUCUCCUUUUGGAUGUGCCAGAGAAGCCUGCAACCCCACUGCUUCUAACAGCCUUCUUGUGACUAAGACAGAAGUAUACCACCAUGCCAAUGUCUUUGGAUCCUUGACUUCUUCAGGAAAUCAUUUUGCCUGGAAUCAUUAUCCUUCUCAAUAUAAUUUAGUUGCAUGUUUGUUUUGCGCAAACCACAAUGUCAGUUCUAUCCUGAAGUUUUCAGUUUUUGCUGUCACCAUCCUUAGGAAGCUCACGUUACAGCUAGCCCGUCAAGCUGCCCUGCGAUCGUAAGCUACAGCACAGCAUAGGACAGAACGUUUGAGACUGGAAACUUGCUUCCUGGGAUGGCGUGGCCGCGUAUUUCCUAUUUAUUCCUGAAGAAGCUUAACUCUGAAGUUGCUCAGCAUUAACAAACAAGAGGAGCUACCAAAUGGUCUCUAACAGGUCCUCCAAAUCGACAGCUGAGUAAUGUCAGGUGACCUUUUUAUCAGUGGGCUUCUUAUGAUCAUGAGAGUAAAGUGACCUUCCCUUUAGGCCCUGGUGUUGGGUUAUUUCUUUGUAUCUGAUUUUGAUUUUGCCUCAUUCUAUAGGGAUUGUUUCUGGUCUGUACAACAUUCUUCAAUGGACACAUUCAUAAAGGCCGUUUUCCAGUUGAGUCUAGAGACACUUACUUCCAGGCACGAUACUUGUGGCGCUCGAUCAUAAAGUUCCAACAUAUCAUAUUACUCAGAAUGGUCCAUUCAUAAAUAGGCUGGGUUCAAAACACAGACCCUUGUUUUUUUUAAAAAUAAGCUAAGCCUCUCCGAGGUAUCAGGCUGCUCUCAAGUGUUUGUCCAUUGACUCUAUUUUUUUCUCCUAGAGAAUGGACUUACUUUCCUUGUCUCUGCUUUGAAUAGGAAAACAACAAUAACAAGUUGAUGAGAAUGCUUUGUUUGUAAAGGGAAGGUGGGGGCAGAGAGAAGGCAAAGGAUGUGUGUGGGUGUGUUUGUGUGCACAUGGGAACUCCAGGGAGGAAUAGCAUUUGUGAGAUGUUUUCCUGGAGGAACAGUUUCGAAUUUGUUUUGGUGUAAAUUGAGCCAGAAGUUUGAAAAUAAGAAGGAACUUCAUAAACAUUUGCUCUCUGUAUCACCACCUUGUUAAAUCAAUGCAGCAUUUGAACCAGUUUUGUUUUUCUAAUUCCAUUGUACACUUGGGAAAGCAGAAGGUGUUUUGCAGAAUCUGGCAUUAUGCAGAAUCUGGCGUUUGGUUAUUUGGAGAAGGCUGCUUUACUGACUAGGUCACAGUAAACGACUACAGACUCUAAGAAUAUGUUGACAGUGUCAGUAGUGAAAUCUUUGCCACACACAUUGUGAAAAAUUGAAGGAGGGUGGAAAAUAACUUAUUUUGCUAACAAUCUAUUUCCCAUCUGUAGUUUGUGUCUGCUGAAGCUGGAAGUCCUUGCCUCCCCUCCUCAAAGUCUGUCUCUUUUCUUUGACAGACGUGCUUCCUUGAAAUUUUCAGUUCAGAUGACUGUUAUUAACAGCAACCUUUAGAGUACAUUGGGGAUUAAUUUAAUUUUUUGAUAUGUAUUUUUACUAUGGUUUCAAGAUGCUGGAAUGUAGAUAUAGUUCUUGUUAAAAAAAAAAAAAAGUUUAGACAGGUUGAUUCAUUUAACUACCCAGCAGGAUAUGAUUACUUUUUCUAAAGUUAAAUUCCAAAGAAGAAAAUCUAACAACUUCAUCCACAUACAUAAGCACACACUAUAUAAAUAAAUGUGUAUAUUUGCAUAUAUAUACACACACACACACACACACGCAAUGUGGUAGUGAUGUCUCAACCAGGCAAGAAAUGUUUUCUUAAGUGGAAAUUGAUUGGGUUUUAAUUAAUAUAUAAAAGCAUGUCUUACUUUGGUUUGUUUUUCCUUUGGAUCAACUAUGAUGUAUUAAAUAAAUGUUUGUUUUGUUUGUUUCGAUAAGC